UUUUAACUUCUAGCCAUGGCGAACGAUCCCAGGGGAGCAUAGACUGAACCCCUCUAUGAACUCUCUUGGAGUGGAUCAGACUGAUGAUCACCAACAACCAGCUCAUUCCCGGAUAAGGAAGAAGAGAGUGUUACCCACUUCAGUGUGGUUUCAACCCCACUUCUA
RNAcentral lists this long non-coding RNA (165 nucleotides) under Pongo abelii (Sumatran orangutan). RNAcentral's name for it is "lincRNA". Lineage: Eukaryota; Metazoa; Chordata; Mammalia; Primates; Hominidae. The record is from RNAcentral.